CGAAGGGUCCAAGCGUUAUCCGGAUUUAUUGGGUUUAAAGGGUGCGUAGGCGGUUUAUUAAGUCAGUGGUGAAAGCUCCAUGCUUAACAUGGAAAUUGCCAUUGAUACUGAUGAACUUGAGUACACUUGAAGUGGGCGGAAUAUGUCAUGUAGAGGUGAAAUUCUUAGAGAUGACAUAGAACACCGAUUGCGAAGGCAGCUCACUAAAUUGUAACUGACGCUGAGGCACGAAAGCGUGGGGAUCAAACAGGAUUAGAUACUCUGGUAGUCCACGCCCUAAACGAUGAUUACUAGAUGUGUGCAAUAUACCGUACGCGUCACAGCUAAAGCGUUAAAGUAAUCCACCUGGGGAGUACGGCCGCAAAGGCUG
This 370-nucleotide ribosomal RNA is filed under the name uncultured organism. RNAcentral's name for it is "bacterial SSU rRNA". It matches the Rfam family "Bacterial small subunit ribosomal RNA", at positions 526 to 896 of the family's 1533-position model. The record is from RNAcentral.